This 497-nucleotide ribosomal RNA is filed under the name uncultured bacterium. Its description in RNAcentral is "partial 16S ribosomal RNA". It matches the Rfam family "Bacterial small subunit ribosomal RNA", at positions 28 to 507 of the family's 1533-position model. The record is from RNAcentral.
GAUGAACGCUGGCGGCGUGCCUAAUACAUGCAAGUCGAGCGAACAGACGAGGAGCUUGCUCCUCUGACGUUAGCGGCGGACGGGUGAGUAACACGUGGAUAACCUACCUAUAAGACUGGGAUAACUUCGGGAAACCGGAGCUAAUACCGGAUAAUAUAUUGAACCGCAUGGUUCAAUAGUGAAAGACGGUUUUGCUGUCACUUAUAGAUGGAUCCGCGCCGCAUUAGCUAGUUGGUAAGGUAACGGCCUACCAAGGCGACGAUGCGUAGCCGACCUGAGAGGGUGAUCGGCCACACUGGAACUGAGACACGGUCCAGACUCCUACGAGAGGCAGCAGUAGGGAAUCUUCCGCAAUGGGCGAAAGCCUGACGGAGCAACGCCGCGUGAGUGAUGAAGGUCUUCGGAUCGUAAAACUCUGUUAUUAGGGAAGAACAAAUGUGUAAGUAACUAUGCACGUCUUGACGGUACCUAAUCAGAAAGCCACGGCUAGCUACGUG